Molecule: non-coding RNA, 950 nt
Organism: Marmota flaviventris (yellow-bellied marmot)
Lineage: Eukaryota; Metazoa; Chordata; Mammalia; Rodentia; Sciuridae
Source: RefSeq, a predicted model, not a curated record
AAACAAGUUCAAGAUGAUCCCAGGGAGAAAGAGAAGGGGAACCCGUCAAAUACCAGGGAAUCAGAAGGCUGGAGGAGAGGCCGGGGCGCAGGGUAAGGGAGGACAUGGACACGUGACAAAAGCCUGGCUGACCAGAGGCAGGGGAUGUCUACUGGGCUAAUACUGAGGGGCCUGGCUAAGCUGCUGAGGCUGGCCUCCAACUUGUGAUCCUCCCACCUCAGCCUCCUGAGUUGCUGGGAUUACAGACGUGCACUGCCCUGCCUGGCUAAGCUUCUCUUCUUUACUCGACGUGGCUGCCUGUGCUGCUUGGAAUUUCUGAACCGUCCUGCAACCUUGAGGGGGAAGCAUCCUCAUGGGCUGGGGAUGGCAGAGCCGGAGCAUGGAAAGCACCCAACUUUUCCAUGAUGUUAUUACUGCACUGUGACACCGACCCAACCCUCUGGCCCCUGGGCUCCCCAAACACGCACGACACCUGGUUGUUCAAGCCACUUUUCAGUGGAUCUCGGUUGUGACCCGAACACCUCUGUCUCCACCAUUCUUACUGGGCAGUGACCAGGAGCCAAGACCCUGGGCAGCAGUCGAGGCUUCAAGGGUUUAAAUAAAAGACUUGCUGGACCCCAGCGAGACAGGGGAUUAGGAGAAGUUCCUUCCGAGGAAGUGAGUCUAUGCAGAGGAGGACGGGAGGUAAAAGUCACCCAGCAACACAGAGGGAAAGGGGGACCGAGGUGGGGGGGGCUCAAGCCCAAGAAAUAGAGGCGCCCUGUGUCCAGAUAAAGGGGAAAAGCAGUGGGUGGGGACAGGUGGGGACAGAUGUCUCAAGGUCACAGCCAGGACCCCACAGGACUGUGGAGCAGUGCUUAACAGCCCGGCCACCUGCUUUCCUAAGACUUCUUUGGAACUUAAAAAAAUUUUUUUUUCUUUUAAUUUAAAAAAAUGCUUUUGAGGGUCAG